This is a long non-coding RNA of Bufo gargarizans (Asiatic toad), 336 nucleotides long. RefSeq lists it as uncharacterized. Lineage: Eukaryota; Metazoa; Chordata; Amphibia; Anura; Bufonidae. The record is from RefSeq and is a predicted model, not a curated record. The transcript has 2 exons.
CCGGUGAACGGCCGGAUCCACUUGCUUGACACGCAAGUGGAACGCACUAAACACGCCCCCAUCGAAUCACAUGAUCGGAUAUGCCCCAGAAUUCAGAGCGCAGCAGCGCUUCCCUCGUGUUUAAAAGGCACUAGGACUGGCGCGCAUUUAGUGCAUCCGGCGCUUCACCCAACACACACAGCAGACAAGAUUUAGACCACUGAGGAAGGCCGUGAAAGGCCGAAACGUCUGGUCGUUUUUCUUCUCAUUACUGUGAAAUAUAGCACCGGAACCUUAAUCAUGUAAAAAAUGUGAAAAGAAAAAAUGUGAAAUUAAACCUUAAUAGCAACAAGAAAA